CCUACGGGGGGCAGCAGUGAGGAAUCUUCCACAAUGGACGAAAGUCUGAUGGAGCGACACCGCGUGAAGGAUGAAGGCCUAACGGUUGUAAACUUCUUUUCUGAAGGAGCAUAAUGAGAGUACUUCAGGAAUAAGGGACGGCUAAAUACGUGCCAGCAGCCGCGGUAAUACGUAUGUCUCGAGCGUUACCCGGAAUCACUGGGUGUAAAGGGUUCGUAGGCGGUUUAAUAAGUUGGAUAUGAAAGACCGGAGCUCAACUUCGUGUUUGUCUUCAAAACUGUUAAACUAGAAUCAGGGAGAGGUAAGUAGAAUUCUAAGUGUAGGGGUGCAAUCCGUAGAUACUUAGAGGAAUACCAAAAGCGAAGGCAACUUACCGGAACUGUAUUGACGCUGAGGAACGAAAGCGUGGGUAGCGAAAAGGAUUAGAUACCCCAGUAGUC
Molecule: ribosomal RNA, 440 nt
Filed under: uncultured bacterium
Lineage: Bacteria
Description: bacterial SSU rRNA
Rfam family: Bacterial small subunit ribosomal RNA
Source: RNAcentral